GCCAUAGAGCUAGCCACACUACCUGCCCAAGUGCACACAAAUACAUAACCACAAAUAAAUCAAAAACCACAAACUAAACCAUUCUACCACCCAAGUAUGUGCGACAGAAAAGGAAAAUCGAGCAAUAGAGAAAGUACCGCAAGGGAAAGCUGAAAGAGAUAUGAAACAGCCCACCAAAGCACAAAAAAGCAGAGACUAAACCUCGUACCUUUUGCAUCAUGAUCUAGCCAGAACAAUCAGGCAAAGAGCCCUACAGUCUGACCCCCCGAAACUAAGUGAGCUACUCCAAGACAGCAUAUUAGAGCCAACCCGUCUCUGUGGCAAAAGAGUGGGAAGAUCUUUGAGUAGAGGUGAUAAACCUAACGAACUUAGUGAUAGCUGGUUGCUUAGGAAAUGGAUAUAAGUUCAGCUUCGUGCCAUUCUCAGAUCAACAUAAUAAGAACCAACAAGAACCUAAGAAGACAGAGAAGUUAGCUAAAGGAGGUACAGCUCCUUUAGAAAAGAACACAAUCUUGACAGAUGGAUAAGGAUCAUACUAAACAAGGUUUACUCCUACAGUGGGCUUAAGAGCAGCCACCUGAAUAGAAAGCGUUGAAGCUCGGGCAGAAAUAAAAGCCAAUUAUCCUGAUAUAAACUCCAACUCCUCCAACUAUACUAAGCCACUCUAUGUAAACAUAGAAGAAACAAUGCUAGAAUCAGUAACAGGGGGGGGCACGCCCCCCUCCCGGCACACGUGUAAGUCAGAUCGGACCCACCACUGACAAAUAAAGAGCCCAACAAAAGAGGGCAUCGCAGACCAAACAAAAACCAAGAAAAGCCUGCAACCUAAUAUCGUUAGCCCAACACAGGAGUGCCAACAUAGGGAAAGACCCAAUGAAGAAAGAAGGAACUCGGCAACCACGGGCCCCGCCUGUUUACCAAAAACAUGGCCUCUUGCAACCCAUAAAUAAGAGGUCCAACCUGCCCAGUGACAAUAAGUUUAACGGCCGCGGUAUUUUAACCGUGCUAAGGUAGCGUAAUCACUUGUCUUUUAAAUGAAGACCCGUAUGAAAGGUGUCACGAGGGCCCCCCUGUCUCCUACUUCAAGUCUGUGAAAUUGAUCUACCCGUGCAGAAGCGGGUAUAACAACAUAAGACGAGAAGACCCUGUGGAGCUUAAGACGAAUCAACCAAUCGUGCCUAACAGCCAAUCCCCCUAACAGGAAAUAAAAAGCUAAACAAGCAUAACGACCCAUGAUUGAACUGUCUUCGGUUGGGGCGACCGUGGGGGAUAAAAAAGCCUCCAAGAGGAAACAGGGGACCAGUUCAACCGAUCCCUAAGAGCCAAGAGCCACCGCUCUAAGCAACAGAAAACUCUGACCAAUAAUGAUCCAGGCAUUCGCCUGAUCAGCGAACCAAGUUACCCCAGGGAUAACAGCGCAAUCCUUUCCCAGAGCCCAUAUCGCCGAAAGGGUUUACGACCUCGAUGUUGGAUCAGGACAUCCUGGUGGCGAAAAUUCUACCAAGGGUUCGUUUGUUCAACGAUUAAAGUCCUACGUGAUCUGAGUUCAGACCGGAGCAAUCCAGGUCGGUUUCUAUCUAUGCAUUUCCCCUUCCUAGUACGAAAGGACCGGAAGGAGGAGGGCCAAUGUUCAAAACACGCCCCACCCCCAAUCAAUGAAAACAACUAAAAUAUUAAAGGGGAAUAUAACCACAGCCCAAGACAAGGGCUA
Molecule: ribosomal RNA, 1711 nt
Filed under: Paramormyrops gabonensis
Lineage: Eukaryota; Metazoa; Chordata; Actinopteri; Osteoglossiformes; Mormyridae
Description: 16S rRNA
Rfam family: Bacterial large subunit ribosomal RNA
Source: RNAcentral